This 460-nucleotide ribosomal RNA is filed under the name uncultured bacterium. RNAcentral describes it as "partial 16S ribosomal RNA". It matches the Rfam family "Bacterial small subunit ribosomal RNA", at positions 338 to 795 of the family's 1533-position model. The record is from RNAcentral.
CCUACGGGUGGCAGCAGUGAGGAAUAUUGGUCAAUGGGCGGAAGCCUGAACCAGCCAAGUCGCGUGAGGGAAUAAGGCCCUACGGGUCGUAAACCUCUUUUGCCGGGGAGCAAGAGCGGGGACGUGUCCCUGCCCGGAGAGUACCCGGAGAAAAAGCAUCGGCUAACUCCGUGCCAGCAGCCGCGGUAAUACGGGGGAUGCGAGCGUUAUCCGGAUUUAUUGGGUUAAAGGGGUGCGUAGGCGGGCUCUUAAGUCAGCGGGAAAAGUUCGGGGCUCAACCGCGUCCGGCCGUUGAAACUGGGGGCCUUGAGUGGGCGAGAGGAAGGCGGAAUGCGUGGUGUAGCGGUGAAAUGCAUAGAUAUCACGAAGAACCCCGAUUGCGAAGGCAGCCUUCCGGCGCACUACUGACGCUGAGGCACGAAAGUGCGGGGAUCGAACAGGAUUAGAUACCCGGGUAGUC